Molecule: ribosomal RNA, 1193 nt
Filed under: metagenome
Description: bacterial SSU rRNA
Rfam family: Bacterial small subunit ribosomal RNA
Source: RNAcentral
CCACAUUGGGACUGAGAUACGGCCCAGACUCCUACGGGAGGCAGCAGUGGGGAAUAUUGGGCAAUGGGCGCAAGCCUGACCCAGCAACGCCGCGUGAAGGAAGAAGGCUUUCGGGUUGUAAACUUCUUUUAAGUGGGAAGAGUAGAAGACGGUACCACUUGAAUAAGCCACGGCUAACUACGUGCCAGCAGCCGCGGUAAUACGUAGGUGGCAAGCGUUGUCCGGAUUUACUGGGUGUAAAGGGCGUGCAGCCGGGCAUGCAAGUCAGAUGUGAAAUCUCAGGGCUUAACCCUGAAACUGCAUUUGAAACUGUAUGUCUUGAGUGCCGGAGAGGUAAUCGGAAUUCCUUGUGUAGCGGUGAAAUGCGUAGAUAUAAGGAAGAACACCAGUGGCGAAGGCGGAUUACUGGACGGUAACUGACGGUGAGGCGCGAAAGCGUGGGGAGCGAACAGGAUUAGAUACCCUGGUAGUCCACGCUGUAAACGAUGGAUACUAGGUGUGCGGGGACUGACCCCCUGCGUGCCGCAGUUAACACAAUAAGUAUCCCACCUGGGGAGUACGAUCGCAAGGUUGAAACUCAAAGGAAUUGACGGGGGCCCGCACAAGCGGUGGAUUAUGUGGUUUAAUUCGAAGCAACGCGAAGAACCUUACCAGGUCUUGACAUCCUGCUAACGAAGUAGAGAUACAUUAGGUGCCCUUCGGGGAAAGCAGAGACAGGUGGUGCAUGGUUGUCGUCAGCUCGUGUCGUGAGAUGUUGGGUUAAGUCCCGCAACGAGCGCAACCCCUAUUGUUAGUUGCUACGCAAGAGCACUCUAGCGAGACUGCCGUUGACAAAACGGAGGAAGGUGGGGACGACGUCAAAUCAUCAUGCCCCUUAUGACCUGGGCUACACACGUAAUACAAUGGCGGUCAACAAAGGGAUGCAAAGCCGCGAGGCAGAGCGAACCCCAAAAAGCCGUCCCAGUUCGGAUCGCAGGCUGCAACCCGCCUGCGUGAAGUCGGAAUCGCUAGUAAUCGUGGGUCAGCAUACCACGGUGAAUACGUUCCCGGGCCUUGUACACACCGCCCGUCACACCAUGAGAGUCGGGAACACCCGAAGUCCGUAGCCUAACCGUAAGGAGGGCGCGGCCGAAGGUGGGUUCGAUAAUUGGGGUGAAGUCGUAACAAGGUAGCCGUUCGAGAACGAGCGGCUG